RNAcentral lists this ribosomal RNA (774 nucleotides) under uncultured Neocallimastigales. RNAcentral describes it as "partial large subunit ribosomal RNA". It matches the Rfam family "Eukaryotic large subunit ribosomal RNA", at positions 22 to 615 of the family's 3401-position model. Lineage: Eukaryota; Fungi; Neocallimastigomycota; Neocallimastigomycetes; Neocallimastigales. The record is from RNAcentral.
AUAUCAGUCAUGCAUAGCAUAUCAAUAAGCGGAGGAAAAGAAACUAACAAGGAUUCCCUUAGUAACGGCGAGUGAAGCGGGAAGAGCUCAAAUUUGAAAUCUUCAAGGUUUUACCUUGACGAAUUGUAGUUUAAAGAAGUGUUUUCUGUUGAAGUUUUGGUAAAAGUUCUUUGGAAUAGGACAUCAUAGAGGGUGAGAAUCCCGUAUUUGACCAUUACUUUCAGCUUUGUGAUACACUUUCAAAGAGUCGGAUUGUUUGGGAAUGCAGUCCAAAAUGGGUGGUAAAUUUCAUCUAAAGCUAAAUAUUGGCGAGAGACCGAUAGCGAACAAGUACCGUGAGGGAAAGAUGAAAAGAACUUUGAAAAGAGAGUUAAACAGUACGUGAAAUUGUCAAAAGGGAAGCGUUUGACACCAGUGUUGUUUUCUCGAAAAUCAAUUAAAAAGAGUUGGAUUUUGUGUUGUAUUGACUUUAUCGGCUUUCUUCACUCUUUUCCAGCUUUUUUUAAUGCACUUUUCGUUUAACAAGUCAACAUCAGUUUCUUUUGUUGUAAAAAGGUCAUUGGAAGGUGGCUUUCCUCUUCGGAGAAAGUGUUUAUAGCCUUUGACUCAUGCAAUCGGAGAGACUGAGGUCUGCAGCGUAGAUCCUUCGGGGUUAGAUACAUUUGUGCUAAGUUAUAGCUUUUCAUAGACAACUUGUUGACUAUGUUUAGUCUUGUAGCUUACUCGCUUAUGCUAUUUUACCUACGCUUAGGAUGUUGAACUCUAUCACACACA